UACGUAGGGUGCAAGCGUUGUCCGGAAUUACUGGGCGUAAAGGGCGCGUAGGCGGCUUGUCAAGUCACUUGUGAAAUCUCUGGGCUUAACCCAGAACGGCCAAGUGAAACUGACAUGCUAGAGUGUGGAAGGGGCAAUCGGAAUUCUUGGUGUAGCGGUGAAAUGCGUAGAUAUCAAGAGGAACACCUGAGGUGAAGACGGGUUGCUGGGCCAACACUGACGCUGAGGCGCGAAAGCCAGGGGAGCAAACGGG
RNAcentral lists this ribosomal RNA (253 nucleotides) under uncultured bacterium. RNAcentral describes it as "partial 16S ribosomal RNA". It matches the Rfam family "Bacterial small subunit ribosomal RNA", at positions 524 to 776 of the family's 1533-position model. The record is from RNAcentral.